CCUCAGAUCAGGUAGGAGUACCCGCUGAACUUAAGCAUAUCAAUUAAGCGGAAAAGAAACCAACAGGGAUUGCCCCAGUAGCGGCGAGUGAAGCGGCAAGAGCUCAGAUUUGAAAUCGUGUCUUUGGCACGAGUUGUAGAGUGUAGGCGGGAGUCUUUGUGGAGCACGGUGUCCAAGUCCCUUGGAACAGGGCGCCUGAGAGGGUGAGAGCCCCGUGGGGUGCCGUGCGAAGCUCUGAGGCCCUGCUGACGAGUCGAGUUGUUUGGGAAUGCAGCUCCAAGUGGGUGGUAAAUUCCAUCUAAGGCUAAAUACUGGCGAGAGACCGAUAGCGAACAAGUACUGUGAAGGAAAGAUGAAAAGCACUUUGAAAAGAGAGUGAAACAGCACGUGAAAUUGUUGAAAGGGAAGGGUAUUGGGCCCGACAUGGGGAGUGCGCACCGCUGUCUCUUGUAGGCGGCGCUCUGGGCGCUCUCUGGGCCAGCAUCGGUUCUUGCUGCGGGAGAAUGGGUGCCGGAAAGUGGCUCUUCGGAGUGUUAUAGCCGGCGCCAGAUACCGCGUGCGGGGACCGAGGACUGCGGCUUCUGUCUCGGAUGCUGGCACAACGGCGCAAUACCGC
This 616-nucleotide ribosomal RNA is filed under the name Pichia membranifaciens. Its description in RNAcentral is "eukaryotic LSU rRNA". It matches the Rfam family "Eukaryotic large subunit ribosomal RNA", at positions 1 to 648 of the family's 3401-position model. Lineage: Eukaryota; Fungi; Ascomycota; Pichiomycetes; Pichiales; Pichiaceae. The record is from RNAcentral.